Molecule: ribosomal RNA, 242 nt
Filed under: uncultured bacterium
Lineage: Bacteria
Also listed under: 1 other name
Description: partial 16S ribosomal RNA
Rfam family: Bacterial small subunit ribosomal RNA
Source: RNAcentral
CACGCAGUAAACGAUGAUUACUAGUUGUUUGCGAUACAAUGUAAGCGACUGAGCGAAAGCGUUAAGUAAUCCACCUGGGGAGUACGUUCGCAAGAAUGAAACUCAAAGGAAUUGACGGGGGCCCGCACAAGCGGAGGAACAUGUGGUUUAAUUCGAUGAUACGCGAGGAACCUUACCCGGGCUUGAAAUGCGGCGGACCGGCAGAGAGAUCUGCCUUCCCUUCGGGGCCGCCGUGUAGGUGC